This 1654-nucleotide long non-coding RNA is filed under the name Mus spicilegus (steppe mouse). Its description in RNAcentral is "lncRNA (ENSMSIG00000025665.1)". Lineage: Eukaryota; Metazoa; Chordata; Mammalia; Rodentia; Muridae. The record is from RNAcentral.
GGAAGAGAAAGCUCUGGGGUAGAGCUAGGAGCUAUCCCUAGCUAAAGACAGCCAUGUUCUACUUUGGUCUGGGUUGUACUUGAGCUAACAAAUUGCAGUCUUGAAAGCCACUGGAUUUGGUGCUCAGUCCCUCGGAAAACACUCUAGCUACACUCUGACAAGUCUCCACUGGACCAUGCUAGUGUGAGAGUCACUUGAAACCUCCUUACCUGCACGCCUCAUCUUCUUUGCUUGUUACAGUCACUUUCAAGUUUGUAUCCAUGGCAAACUAGUCCAUGUUCUACUUACAAGUUGAGAAAGGCCAAGAUUCUCAUUCUUAGAAUUCCUCUGUGAAUCCCCUAGAUACCAGCAUGUAUGAUGAGCAAGCUUCCAUCCUCUCAUCCUUACAGAGAUGAGAUAUGUCCUCAAUAUGUCUUGGAAAAAUUACAGGGACUUUGUAAUCCUCUGUAUAUUAGCCAGCCAGAAAGUCCCUAUGGGAAGGGAGAAAGAAAGAAGAAGGGUCCCUGAGUUGAAGCCACAAUGCAAGUCUUCUGCCCAGGCCAAUGUUUCAUGAUGAACUGUGUAGAAGUAGAGAGCCAGCAUCUCAGGAUCCAGUCUCACCUCACAGACAGCAAGAGAGAACUGCCUUAAGAAGACAAGGAUUUAAUUGUUAGAACAAUGCCAAAGACAUGAUGUGCCACAUAAUAUGAAGACCAGACCAGUUUCUUCUAUUUCUGUAUACUUGCUCUCUUUGAUGGUAAAGAUAUACUCAGACUUGACUUUUAAGACUUACUAGUCUUGAAGAAAAAGUAAAGAUGGAUCAAUAACUCAUAAGCAGUGACCAACUGUCAAAACCUCAAAACUACAGCAGUGACCUUAGCAUCACACACUCAGGUAUCUCUCCUUGCCUUCUGUGUAGCAUCAGCCACACGGCAAUGAACACAAUGGAGGGGGGGAGACGGAAGAUUCUACAACUUCCAGAAAAGCAAAAUGUAUCCAAAUCCCAUAUGCUUAUUGUAAAUCUGCCUUAGGGAUCGGUGGUACAUGAAGCUGGAGAAAAGCGAGGGCAAGAAAUAUACUACAGCAACAGAGAAGUAGCAACUGAAUAUAGUAGUAAUAUUCUACUGUUGCUGACUUCAGUGCCAACAUGAGCACUUUCCAUUUCUGAAACGCCAAAUAAGAUAAAAAGAGGCCUCACUGAAGAACAAACAUGGCCUACUGUCUCCAAACUGGGACUCAGGGCUAACUCACAGUGGUGGGGGCCUGGUUGUUCAAUUAAAUGCUUAGUUCUCAGUUCUCAUGUUUCAUUGACCUAGCAGCAGCAUUUGAAGCUGCAGGUAAUGUCUUUGUCUGGACCCUGAUCUUCUAGAACAUCUCUCUCUUUCUUUUCCUUUAUCCUCCUGUUAAUCUCUCUUCAGUUUCUUUAGAUAAGCUUCCCCCUUGCCCUUCAGCUCUUCAGAAAUGCAAACCCCAAGGCUCUGUCAUGUGUUUCUCUGCUCCAUAUUUCAGUAUACUCUUUUGAGAAUCACCUCCAAUCUCCUGGCUUUCAAUAUCAGCUAAGAUCUCUGCUGGUAGCUGGUGUACACGUCCCUACCAUGUAUACAGUGAAAAGUUUGUAAGCAUUAAGGCAAAUGCUGUUGCGUUAAGGUUUCAGAUAGAAGAGAAUUAAAUAAAU